UGAGAUACCGCACGAAAUCGCUAAUCUUCGAAAUCUAGGGGAUUUAGUGCUUGGAAUGAACAACCUAGUUGGUGUGUUACCAGCUCCAAUCUUCAACAUGUCAACACUGAAGGUACUUAUCCUCAUAAACAACUCUCUCAGCGGAAGUCUUCCAUCAAGAAUAGACCUUUCACUUCCAACGGUUGAGGUUCUUAUCUUGUCACUUAAUAGAUUUUCUGGAACCAUUCCUAGUUCCAUCACCAAUGCUUCUAAGCUCGCCUUGCUAGAAUUGGGAGUAAACACAUUUUCGGGAUUUAUUCCAAACACAAUUGGUAAUUUAAGAAACCUUGAGUGGCUCGGCUUGGGUAAUAACUACUUGACAUCUUCAACCUCAAAAUUGAGCUUUCUUUCCUCUUUGGCAAAUUGCAAGAAAUUAAGAGACAUAGGCUUAACAGGCAAUCCACUCAACGGUAUCCUUCCAAGUUCAAUAGGUAAUCUUUCCAUGUCUUUGAAAACACUUUACAUCGGCAAUUGCAGUAUUAGUGGCAACAUUCCUCAAUCAAUUGGCAAUUUAAGCAACUUAUUGGCCUUAGUAUUAGAAGUCAAUAAAUUGACUGGACCUAUCCCAACUACAUUCGGCCGACUGCAGAAACUCCAAGGCUUAUAUCUUGCAUUCAAUAAGUUGGUAGGUUCAUUCCCAGAUGAGCUUUGCCAUCUAGCAAGGCUGGAUCAAUUGGUCUUAUUUGGCAAUAAGCUUUCAGGAUCUAUACCUUCAUGCUUAAGUAAUCUCACUUCUCUGAGAUCUCUCUACUUAGGGUCCAAUAGGUUUACUUCUGUCAUUCCCUCAACUUUCUGGAGCCUAAAAGACAUCUUGUUCUUUGACUUUUCAUCAAAUUUCUUGGUGGGUCCUCUUUCUUCAGACAUAGGUAAUUUGAAGGUGCUUCUAGGAAUAAAUUUAUCAGAAAAUAACUUAUCGGGUGAUAUGCCAGCCACAAUUGGAGGACUAAAAAACCUUCAAAUUAUGGACCUAGCAUAUAAUAGAUUGGAAGGCCCAAUUCCUGAAUCAUUUGGUGACUUGACAAGUUUGGAGGUUUUGAAUUUGUCAAAUAAUAAAAUCUCCGGGUCUAUUCCAAAAUCCUUGGGGAAACUCUUUUACCUCCGAGAGUUAAAUCUCUCUUUCAAUGAACUAGAAGGUGAGAUUCCUAGUGGAGGAAUUUUUGCCAACUUCACAGCUGAGUCAUUUAUGGGAAAUGAGUUAUUGUGUGGUUUACCAAAUCUUCAAGUCCAACCAUGCAAAGUUAGCAAGCCGAGGACAGAACAUAAAUCAAGGAAAAAGAUACUUCUCAUUGUGAUUGUUUUGCCAUUGAGUAUUGCUCUAACGAUAGCAAUCACUCUAGCUCUCCAAUCUAAGCUGAUCGAAUGUGGAAAAAGAAGCACGGUGUUAUCAAAUGAUAGUAUCUUGUCAUCACAAGCAACACUAAGAAGAUUUUCAUACUUAGAACUUUUACGAGCAACAGAUAAUUUUGCUGAAAACAGCAUAAUUGGCAGAGGAGGUUUUGGUUCCGUUUAUGGAGCAAGACUUGAAGAUGGGAUGAAGAUUGCAAUAAAAGUGUUUCACCAGCAAUGUGCAAGCGCAUUGAAGAGUUUUGAGGCUGAAUGUGAAGUGUUAAAAAAUAUUCGCCAUCGAAACCUUAUCAAAGUUAUCAGCAGUUGCUCGAACGAUGACUUCAAAGCAUUAGUCCUAGAAUACAUGUCCAACGGGAGCUUAGGGGAUUGGCUGCAUUCGAGCAAUUACGUGCUGAAUAUUUUUCAAAGGUUGAACAUAAUGAUUGACGUUGCAUCAGCUUUAGAAUAUCUCCACUUUGAUCAUUCAACUCCUAUUAUUCAUUGUGACUUAAAGCCUAGUAAUGUAUUGUUGGAUGAAAAUAUGGUUGCUCAUUUGAGUGAUUUUGGCAUAGCAAAGCUUUUAAGUGGAGAGGAUGAGUCUACGAUGCGAACAAAAACCCUUGCCACUAUAGGUUAUAUGGCACCAGGUUUGCUUCAAACAACUUUUUUUUAAAGUUCAUUUUAAAUUUUCCAACUUAUUGAUUUUUACAAUCCUCAUAUCAAAAUGUUAUUGAUUAUUUAUCUAAUUGUGAAAUUAAUUUGAUUAAUAGAGUACGGCAUUGAAGGAGAAGUAUCUACAAAAAGUGAUGUUUACAGCUAUGGGAUUAUGUUGAUGGAAACUUUUACCAAGAAAAAACCCACAGAUGAAAUUUUUGUUGGGGAAUUGAGCUUAAAGCGUUGGGUUAAUGACUUGCUUCCUACUUCAUUAGUGGAAGUUGUGGACAAAACUCUGCUAAGUGGAGAGGAAAAACAUUCUGCAGCAAAGGAGCAAUGUCUGUUGUCUAUCUUUAGUUUGGCUCUGGAGUGUACAAUGGAAUCACCGGAAAAGAGGAUUAAUGCAAAAGAUAUUGUUACUAGAUUACUCAAGAUAAGAGACACAUUGAGUAAAAGGAUCGGAAAUUUAAGUUAAUUUCGUUUGCUUUCAUUGAUAGUUAAUCUGAAUUCAUGUAAUAAGUGUAGGAAUCUUAUAUCUUUUCCUUUCAUAUAUUUUUUUUUCUUGAGAAAACUGUUGUAGUCAUCUUGUUUCCAUGGACAGAGUUGAUUUAGUUCUUCCAAAAAAUGCUACUGAUGACCUUUGUUUAAUACUUUCUCUUUUUUUGCAUGUGUUUAGGUAGAACAGUGGUUUGGCUGCAGGCUAAGAAGUCUAACUACACUAAAAGAAUAUGAUUUAAUUUAUUAAACAAAACUUCAAGUUCAAGAAAAGUAUUUCACUGCCCCCAAUGCUUUGGACACCUACUUGUUGCGGACCGCCCAAUUCGCUAGCCCAAUUGCCCACAAUUUCGGGCUAGAGAGCCAACACAAGGCCAAGAGUGCUAGCUUGGCCCAAUUCCGAAAGGUUCUAGGCAACUCUAGCACAUGUGAACAUGUAAAUAUUCUAGAAUACUUUAUACAAUUCCAGCACAUGCAAAUAGCUAGGAAAUUGUAAAAUACUCUAGAGUUUGACCAAGUUUGGCAAAGUUAGGCAAAGUUAGGCAAAGCCUCCCCUAUAAAUAUGGGAUGGCAUUAGGCAUUUGUAUCCAAAAAGCUUUGUAAGCAACUUAAGCAUUGUAUUCUCUCUUUGUGCAAUACAAGUUUUCUUCUUUGGCUCAAUUGCUCUCUUCUCUAGUUCGAGAAGCUCUAGGCUUACUUAGCAACAUUCGGCAAAGUUGUCUAAGUGCCGCACGGGUUAGCUGCGCAAAACACUCAUCUCGUGACAAGUGGUAUCAGAGCUAAGGUUUGCACGCACGCAAAUUAGCUCACGAAGCAAUGGCCAACCCUUCGAACGUAGCACAAGAGGGUGUUGUUGGUGUGGAUGUUCCACCGGAACUAAGCCGUGGCCGAGAGGGAGAACGUGCCCAAGGCAAGACUCGCGGCAAGUCCAAGGCCCUAUCCGUGGAUGCGUUGGAGCCUCGUGUAGGCACUCUCGAAAUCGCAUUGUCCACCGCUCAAGAAAGCCUCGAGGGAUUGGAGGAACGAGUGGACGGACUCGAGGGAGAAUACGCCGAAUUCACGGUGGCAACCAAAGCUCUCAUCCAAGAACAAGCAAACACUCUUCGAGGUGAGUGUUCAAGACGAACUACGCGCUGUCCGUGCGGAAGUGGAUGAAGUCCGCUCGGAUUGGGCAUGGCACAAGCGCACACUCUCCUCAAGUCCAGCUUCCGCAAACUCGAGUGAUGCGCGCCGCAUUGACGUGCCAAAGCCCGACACCUACGAUGGCACACGCAAUGCCACAAUCGUGGAUAAUUUCCUCUUUGGUCUGGAUCAAUACUUUAAUGCCAUGGGUGUACGAGAUGAGGCAUCGAAAGUGGGCACUGCACCCACCUAUCUUAGAGGCGCUGCACAACUAUGGUGGCGUCGCAAACAUGGCGAGAUGGGCAAGGGCAUUUGCACCAUCGACAUUUGGUCCGACUUCAAGCAAGAACUCCGAAAGCAGUUCGCCCCAAGCAAUGCGGAGAAGGAAGCGCGAGCGCGCUUACGUCGCCUCAAGCAAUCGGGUAGCAUUCGGGACUACAUCAACGAGUUCACUACCCUUAUGUUGGAGAUAAGCGACAUGUCCAACAAGGAUUCACUCUUCUACUUCCAAGAUGGCCUCAAGGAUUGGGCCAAAACCGAGCUUGAUAGGCGUGGUGUUCAAACACUUGACGACGCCAUCGCCAUUGCGGAAUCGCUCACCGAAUACUCUACCCAAUCCAAAGACAAGAAGUCUAGCCAAGGCAAAGGUGGGGGAGAGAGUCGUAAGGACAAGGGCAACAACCGCAAAGAUUGGGGGCAGAAAAAGCCGCCUAGCAACAAGAGCUGGCAGGGAAAAUCGGAGGGCAAGAAGGAGGCGCCAAAGCCACGAAGCCCAUGCUUCAUAUGCAAUGGUCCUCAUUGGGUACGCGACUGUCCGGAGAAGCGGUCGCUUAAUAUUCUUGCUGCCCAACUCAAGAGCAACCCCACAAUGUCCGUGGAGGAACCCCAACUUAGCAUGGGUUCUCUCCAACGCCUCGGCGCCCUCAACCGCCAACAGCCCGCGCUAGUCAAGAAAGGGCUCAUGUAUGUUAGCGCAAAGGUAAACAGCCAGUCCGUUCGCGCGUUGCUAGACACGGGAGCAACACACAAUUUCGUGUCCGUAGAUGAGGCCAAGCGUUUAGGCCUCAAGGCCACCAAGGAAUGAGGCACAAUGAAGGCAGUAAACUCACCCGCCAAGCCAAUUGCGGGAAUUGCACAAGGCGUACACAUCACACUUGGUACGUGGAGCGGAAAGCUUGACUUCUCCAUCCUGCCCAUGGACGACUUCAAGAUGGUCCUGGGCAUGGAAUUCUUCGACCAAGUCUAUGCCUUCCCGCUGCCUACUACGAACUCCCUAAGCAUCCUCGAUGGGAGUAAAGCAUGCAUGGUACCCACGGAGCGAGGCAAGUCCGAGGAGAAGACACUCUCCACCAUGCAAUUCAAAAGGGCUUUCAAGAAGGACCCAAGCUUCUUGGUCUCCAUUCGGGAACUAAAUGAGGAAAGAAAUAGCGGAACGUCGCCAAGCCAAGUCCCUCCGCAAAUAUACAGAGUCCUCAAUGAGUACGAGGAUGUGAUGCCUCCAGAACUUCCGAAGAAGCUCCCACCUCGACGAGAGGUAGAUCAUGCGAUCGAGCUAGAACAAGGCGCGAAGCCAACAGCCUUGGCGCCCUACCGUAUGGCGCCAUCUGAAUUAGAGGAGUUGCGGAGACAACUCAAAGACUUGCUGGACGCAGGCUACAUUCGCCCCUCAAAGGCCCCAUUCAGUGCACCCGUGCUCUUCCAAAAGAAAAAGGAUGGAUCGCUGCGGAUGUGCAUCGACUAUAGAGCGCUCAACAAGAUCACUAUCAAGAACAAGUAUCUGAUUCCCGUGAUUGCGGACUUGUUCGACCAGCUUGGCAAAGCGCGGUACUUCACCAAACUUGACUUGCGCUCCGGGUAUUAUCAAGUGCGCAUCGCCAAGGGAGAUGAACCGAAGACAGCGUGCACAACAAGGUACGGGUCUUUCGAAUUCCUUGUGAUGCCUUUUGGUCUUACUAAUGCACCCGCCACAUUUUGCACGCUCAUGAACAAGGUGCUCCAACCAUUCCUCGACUGCUUCGUGGUCGUGUACUUGGAUGACAUAGUGGUGUAUAGCACCACGCUCGAGGAUCAUGCCCGACAUUUGCGACAAGUCCUCCAAGUACUUCGAGACAACGAGCUCUUCCUCAAACUAGAGAAGUGCUCGUUUGCCCAACAAGAAGUGGAGUUCCUUGGCCAUAAGAUUGCGGGUGGGAAGAUCAUGAUGGAGAAUGACAAAGUAAAGGUCAUCCUCGAUUGGGAGCCUCCCUCGAAAGUACCCGAACUUCGCUCAUUCCUUGGACUGGUGAAUUACUACCGCCGCUUCAUCAAGGGCUAUUCAGCUAAGGCGGCACCCUUGACGAAUAUGCUCAAGAAAAACAGAACAUGGCAUUGGUCCGAAGAGUGCCAACGCGCAUUCGAGGAGUUGAAAAGAACAAUUUCGGAGGAACCCGUCCUCGCUCUUCCGGACCACACAAAGCCCUUCGAAGUGCAAACGGAUGCCUCGGAUUUCGCCAUAGGAGGAGUCCUUAUGCAAGAAGGCCACCCUAUAGCGUUCGAGAGUCGAAAGCUAAAUGAUACAGAACGCCGCUACACGGUGCAAGAAAAGGAGAUGACCGCAAUCAUACAUUGCUUGCGGGUGUGGCGACAUUACUUGCUUGGCUCGUACUUCACGAUUAUGACGGAUAACGUGGCGACAAGCUACUUUCAAACUCAGAAGAAGUUGAGUCCGAAGCAAGCACGGUGGCAAGAUUUCCUUGCGGAAUUCGACUACCGGCUGGAGUACAAACCGGGGAAAGCCAAUGUCGUUGUGAACGCUCUAAGCCGCAAGGCCGAAUUGGCGACACUUAGCAUGAGCCAACCAAAGUCUGACCUUGUCUCACGCAUCAAGGAAGGCCUCCAACAAGAUCCGCUAGCCAAGGAUUUGCUGGAGAAGGUGCUCGAGGGAAAGACAAGACGAUUUUGGCAAGAGGAAGGCAUCCUCCUCACCAAGGGAGAUCGGCUAUUCGUGCCAAGGUGGGGAAACUUGCGGAAGGAAGUAAUCAAGGAGUGCCACGACUCUAAGUGGGCCGGUCACCCAGGAAUCGAGCGCACCACCGCACUAGUUCAAGCCUCGUAUUUUUGGCCGCACAUGAGGGACGACAUCGAGGCAUAUGUGCGAACUUGUCUUGUGUGCCAACAAGACAAAGUGGAUCAUCAACUUCCAGCGGGAUUGUUGGAGCCGUUACCACUAGCAACAAGGCCAUGGGAAAGUGUCUCCAUGGAUUUCAUCACAUCGCUGCCCAAGUCCGAAGGUUGUGGAAGCAUCAUGGUCGUUGUCGACCGAUACAGCAAAUAUGCCACAUUCAUUGCCGCACCAGCCGAUUGCAAAGCGGACGAGGCAGCCCGCCUAUUCGUCAAGCACAUUGUGAAGCUUUGGGGAGUUCCGAAGAGCAUUGUGAGCGACCGAGACCCUCGAUUCACUGGACGCUUUUGGACGGAACUCUUCAAAAUGUUGGGGACCGAUCUCAAGUUCUCGACAAGCUUCCACCCACAAACGGAUGGGCAGACCGAGCGCAUUAAUGGCCUCCUCGAGAUGUACCUGAGGCAUUAUGUGAGCGCUCACCAGCGGGAUUGGGCGAAGCUACUCGACAUUGCCCAAUUUUCUUAUAACUUGCAGCGAAGUGAGGCUACGGGCAAGAGUCCAUUCGAGAUCAUCAUGGGAUUUCAGCCCAUGACCCCCAAUGCCAUAGCCUCGACUUACGGAGGGAAAAGCCCCGCGGCACACAAGCUCGCCCGCGAAUGGCAUGAGGAAGCGGACAUCACGCGAGCCUAUCUCGACAAAGCCGCGAGGAAAAUGAAGAAAUGGGCUGAUACAAGGAGACGGCAUGUUGAGUACAAGGAAGGAGAUCAAGUCAUGAUCAAGCUCCUACCCCAACAAUUCAAGACUUUGCGGAAAGUUCACAAGGGGUUAGUGAGGUGCUACGAGGGAUCCUUCCGAGUUGUUCGACGUGUAGGCAACGUCUCGUAUCAACUCCAACUUCCGCCAAGACUCAAGAUCCAUCCGGUCUUCCAUGUGAGCCUUCUCAAGCCAUAUCAUGAAGACAUGGGAGAACCAAGUCGCGGAGAAUUGAGGCGCGCGCCAACUGCCGUUGUCACCGCGUUCGACAAAGAUGUGGACUACAUCAUUGCGGACCGAACGGUUUCGAGGAGGGGCGUGCCAGCACAUAGCGAGUACUUGGUGAAAUGGAAAAACCUCCCCGAGAGCGAAGCCACUUGGGAACGGGAAGAUGAUUUGUGGCAAUUCGCUGAGCACAUCCAGCACUUCAAGCACGAGAGCGCGACGAGGACGCCGCGAGCUUAGGUGGGGGAGGAUGUUGCGGACCGCCCAAUUCGCUAGCCCAAUUGCCCACAAUUUCGGGCUAGAGAGCCAACACAAGGCCAAGAGUGCUAGCUUGGCCCAAUUCUGGAAGGUUCUAGGCAACUCUAGCACAUGUGAACAUGUAAAUAUUCUAGAAUACUUUAUACAAUUCCAGCACAUGCAAAUAGCUAGGAAAUUGUAAAAUACUCUAGAGUUUGACCAAGUUUGGCAAAGUUAGGCAAAGUUAGGCAAAGUUAGGCAAAGCCUCCCCUAUAAAUAUGGGAUGGCAUUAGGCAUUUGUAUCCAACAAGCUUUGUAAGCAACUCAAGCAUUGUAUUCUCUCUUUGUGCAAUACAAGUUUUCUUCUUUGGCUCAAUUGCUCUCUUCUCUAGUUCGAGAAGCUCUAGGCUUACUUAGCAACAUUCGGCAAAGUUGUCUAAGUGCCGCACGGGUUAGCUGCGCAAAACACUCAUCCCGUGACAUACUGGUAGGUAUGUACGUGUCCUCAACUUUUUUUCGGAGCACAAAAUUCGAGUCCCAUGGAGACUCAAACAUUCCUUUCCCACAUCCCGAGCACGCUAAAUUCAUCAGACUAACAACUGUGACAUAUACAAGAGUGAAAUGUUUAGAGAACGCUAAGUACUAUGAAAGAGAUUAGUUUACGAAAACUGAAGCCAAGGGUUCAUAAAAAAGUGCAAAGAGAAUAAAGGACAACGCUUAUGUAAAGCGACAUAGUUGUAUUCAUAGCACAAUGUCAUAUUCAUACAGAGAUCUAGAAUAUUAUUUACAGCUGGUAAGGGCUAAGAAUUGAUGUAGCUAGAAUACAAAGACGAUAAGGUAUGUUGUGCACUAUUGUUUUAUUCUACGAUCAAUCUUGACCCUUGAUGCUUGGCUCUCAAUCUUGUCCAUUGAUCUUCUUUGAUUUUGGACACUUCAAGACCUUUCAGUAUCAUUCCUUGUUAUUGGUGUCUUCCGUGCUGUAGAAUUCAUAUACAAGCCUUCCCGCCGACUUGCCAAUUAUUUGUUCAUUGGUGCGUUUUGUCAAGCAGUGUGGAUACUUAUACCAAACGCUUUCUGUUUUAACUCCCCCUUUCAAGCUCAACUAUCUGGGAAGACACUAAUAAGCUUGUUUCUCAAGUAUAUGUAUGUGAAAAUUAAAAUUUCAAAAUAAUAUUCGGACUCUACAUUUUCUAAUGAACAUUGGUUUGGCUCAUAAGCUUAUUAUACUUGGGCUUGGUAGGAUUAUCGGUCGGUAGAUGAACAAGUGUUAGAGCUUUCGAAUUUAUGCCAAUUAAAAAAAAAAAAAUCUAUAUAAAUUUUCCACUAGGCUAUUACCACAAUAAACAUUUGGAUGAACUAUUAUUGAAACCUUAUUGAGAAGUAGGACAUGUCGCAUACCAAUGCACUGACAUAUCUUCAAAUAGUGGUAACUCCACACAACAUGGCACAAUAAAUUAAGAGUUAUAUAGAUAAAAUCUUUCACUCUUUGGUAAUCAUCAAUGUCGGCAUGGCAAUGCGUCCGACAAAAUUCAUAAAUCAAAACAAAAAUAGAGAAUCAUAUUUGUUCCAGAUUGUAGUGAUGGUUGUUGAUGCACUCACAAUUUACAAUUUUAUUUAAUAUCUUCACAUUCGCAUUUUAAAAUGCACAAAUGUUUGUGUAUACAUAAUUAGUAAUCGAUUCUCAAGCAUGGACAUUUAAAAGCACUGCUGAAAGACAAAAUUUUAAUUUACUAUUUUUUGUCUUUUAAUUUUCUUUAAGUUUUAAUGAUUCCGCAUUUUGGCGAAGGAAUUGCAACCGCAUUUGGAGCUAGUUUUAAUUUUGUCUUUUAAUUCUUUUACACUUGGCUUUUGUUAUUGAUGUUAACUUCGAUGUGUGUGCGUGUGCGACUGAAUUCAACUUACACGCUAUUGAUGCAGCCACCAAAAAGGGGUGGUCCAUCAUCAAUCAACAAGGUUUAUUAUUAUUUCCAUAUUGAUUUUCUUAAUUAUAAAUAAUACUAAUGCUAUUUCAUAGUUAUAAAUAUAUUAGAAUUAAUCGAAAUCAUUUUUUAGUGUGGCAUGGCUAAAACUACCUUUUUUUUUUAUAAGUAAUUACUACUUUCACAUUAAGAAAAAAUACUCCUAUUUUUAAGGAAAAGUCAAGUACCUGUAGUUGUGAAGACUCGAGCUCACUCCCUUAUGAUAAAUCUUCAUAUUAAUUACGUAAAUAUCCUCUAAAAUUUUAAAUUAACUAUUCAAAAUUCGAUGUUAUACAGGUAUUUCAUUUAUUUGAGUAGGGGUUAGGGGUCAAUUGGAUACAAAUUCAAAAUUAUCCUUACUUGAGAAGGUGAUAAAAAUUGGGGAUUUAGUUUGGAUGUCAUUAGCUACAAAUAUUAAACUCAUACAUUUAAUUCAAAAUUAGAGGGCUGAUAUAUGCGCAUCAUCGUGCACGUUAUAGUGACACUGCGUCACCAUUCCACAACCUCUCCAAUGAAAAAUUGACAUGCUUCUUGUGCGCAUCUAAUCAGAAUCUUGAAAAUUAAUCACAAAAUUGUACUUUUAUUAUAAAAAGAAUAAAGAAACUCCAAGAAAAAAAAAAGACUUACAUAAAUAGAUUGAAAAAUCUAGAUUUCAAGUUGUCUAUAUUAGCUUGAUAUUUUUAUUAAUAGUCAUCCUCCCAAAAAAAUUCCAUCAAAAUAUAUUUUAAUUUUAUGUUAAUUCAUAAACAUGAAAAAAUCAUUUUAGAAUUAAUUAAAACAUAAUUUAUUGUUGCUCAAAAAAGGUAGAACUUAGUGAUCAGAAAAAAAGUAUCUAAAAUAUAUGUUAAAAAAAAUCAUGGUUGGUUAGACUGAUUGAAUUUUUUUUCUUUUUUAAGAAUUAAGACAAUUGGAUGGAUUCAGUAAUAAUAAUACAUAUUUAUUUGGCAAAUGGCAGGGAGGCUUUCGUCUGAUGCAGAUUGAUUAGAGAGAAAAUAUAACAAUUUUAAGCUCGUCAGAUUCGAAGCUGCUUACCUGUCGUGGGGGGAUCACUUCCGGUGCAUGUUGUCGUGUUAAAUUCUCGUUGACUUCACGUUGACUGAAGCAUUAUUGGAAGAAACAAGUUUAUUGAUGUGAGGCCUUUGAGAUUGUAAGUGUUAAAUCUGAGAAGAAUACCCACACACCCAUUAUCCUAUUACUCUUCUAUCACAUGAAGAGAAUUCAACAUUUGAUUCACACGGAAAAAAAAUUUGUGAGGAUUGUGAGGGUUGAUGGAAUAUAAUUUAGAUACAAAGUGUUUACCAGUGCGAUGCUUCGCAAGUGUUCUUGAAUCAAUAUAAACUCACAUUAUUUUCAUAGCGAUUGUUUCAUCUGCACGUGGAUAUAAUCACAUGUCGAGAUUUUUUUCCUUAAAUUAUGAUCUUAUUUAGUAUUGAGGUGUUAUAUCUUUUAAGGUACAAUUAUUGUUGGAAAAAAGUUGCAACUAUCAAAUAAAAUUAAUACUAUGUGCUAAAUAUAAUUGUUAAAUAAUAAUUUUGACAAAAUUAGUGAAGUUAUAUAGAUUUUUUUUCAUCAUCCAAGUAUAAAAUCAAAUCAACUUAACUUCUAAGUUCUAUAUCGGCUACUGUUUAUCAUAUGUUUUAGUUCUGUAACUUUUAAAUUAUAGUUACCCAACCUCAAUUCUAAACAAGACCUAUAACGAUAAAAAAUUUCCUCAUUAAAUUAUAUGUCUUGUGAUUGCUUAUUUAAUUUAUAUUUUUGUUAUUUAUCUUUAUUAAUUAUAAUCAUCUUUUUAUAAAUUAAAAUUGAAGGAAGUUGAUUGAUGUUGUUGACACACACACACGCACGCACACACUCGCAAAGAUAUAUUGGAAGUGCUUACGUCGACUCGAAGUUGUUGGGAAUUAAUGCAUGUAUUGAUUUAUUGGGAGUGUUUAAAUUGAUUUAUUAAUUGAAUAUUGUUUGAUUGCUUCAUAUCCAUUCUAGAAAGUUUAUUUCUUUGUGAAAUUUCAACGAAAUAUGUUUUUUUUUUUAAAUAAGGGUGUUCUAAAUCAUUUUAAAAAAUAUAUGGACUAAUUAGAAUUAAUUAUUAGGUAAUUAACUCAAUUUGUACAGGGUGAAACAACAUUUAUCCUAAUUAUAUCAUGAUAAAUACUUUUUUGAUUAGAAUUAGGAAAUCAUAGGUUUAUUGAAUUGUUUUUUUUUUCCUUUGCGGAAAUGGAUUAGAGAAUUAGAAAACAAUCAUGUUGAUGUCAAAAUCUGAUCUAGUCGGUUAGCGACUUAAUAUCAUAUUACUGCACCAGCAUUAAAUUUAUUUGGUAGAGAAUUGGCUGGUCAAUUGUCAAGAUGUCCUGCAAUCACUAGCGAUUAACCUACGAAUACCUGAAAUCACAAAAGACGGUAAGAGGCACUAGAAAUUUUUUCGGCGUGAACCUUCUGACGCUCAAGUCAGUUUAUAGGUUUACCAUAAUAAAAAUAAAUAAUUUCUAUUUAAAACAAAAAAUAAAGUUCAAAAGCUCAAAAAUAAAACCCAAUCCCAAUAUGAAAAUGAAUUUCUUUUUUUUUUUUAGCUUGGCCGAAUCCUUCUGCCUCCUAAAGAAACAUAAUAGAGAAGCAGGUAGCCAUGUUCCCUAGGUAACGCCCCACUCCCCUCUUUUAUUCCUCCCCCUCUCUUCCGUUUCCUUCUUUUGCUCACUAUCCUUUAUAAUUUUUUAUGCUUGUCUUCCCAAAAUAGCCUUUGAAUACACAAGUAAAUGUCUAGGCUUUGGUGAGGAUAGUUUGGUCAUUGCAUUUUACAAGUAAGAUGAGUGGUGGAGAAAAAUGAGGAGUGCACAUAACUCUUCAGCAAAUCCCACCAACAAUUCCAUUUUCUUAAUUAAUUAAUCUCCUUUUUUAUCCCCAAACAAAUCCUAAUGAUACUCUUAUCAGGUUUAAAACAGUACACAAAUAGUGAAAAGCUAACUAGUCUGUAGAGUAAUUUGCUAAUUGCUAUCUCCUCUCUACGCGCGCUGAAUAAUUUGUUGCAUGCAAACUUUUUAUUUUAUGCAAAUCGUACGUACUGUAACAUUGGAAUUGAUGGAUAAGCAAAAAUACAAUAAUAUUUAUGCCAAUAAAAAUAGUUUUUUUUCCUUUUUAAAUAAACACAACGCGAUGUUGCUCUGCUCUACAUUUUUGCUAUCUCUUUAUUCUUUUUUUUUUUUUGGGCUUCUUAAAGCCUCAAACUUUGACAACCAAAACUUCAUCGACCUAUGAAAAAAUCUGCAGAUUAGUUUUUAUUAUCGGAAUAAUUGUUUGAGAAUACUAAAACAAAAUAUAAAAUAAGAAAAUAGGGGGUUAAAUUAGAGGGGGAAAAAAGCCAUGUUCUAUCGAUUACUAUAGUUUAAGAAAACAAAAUCCAAUUGGGAAUUUUUUUCUUUAAUUUUUGUUUUACUUGAUUGAGAUUUCUCCUUAGUCCUUACAGUUUUAAGUUUGGAUGCCGUAGGGUUAGUAAUUUAGUACUUCCUUUGCAAGCUGAGGGCAAGAAUGAAAAUCUUUAAAGAAAUUAAAAAAGAUUAAAAAAAAGCAUACCAAUAGGUAAUUAUAAAUAACCAUAAAUAAACAUAAACAAAAUAUUUAUGAAGUAAAUUACACAUGCACAUAUUAUUUUUUUGUUUUAUUUCUUACUUGUCUAUUUUAUUUGUCUAUUUUAUUUGCUGCUUGAUAACCCGUAAAUACUAAUCUAGUACUGCUAAUUUCAGACACAAAAUUUUUAACUCUAGGCUGCAGUUUUGCUCAAAAUGAUGACCACUGGCUUCGCACCAUUUAACCGGCAUACAUUUCUACAAAUUGAACAAGGCUAUUGAUUUUCAUUAUUAUUUUUUAUUUAUUUAUAAAUUACUAUUUUAAUUUUCACUUUUUAUUGGGUUGUUUACAAUUUUAUUUUAUAAUUUCAAAUUUGUAUUUUAAAAUGCAGGUACAUUAUGUAUACAUAAUUAUUGAUUUUCAUAUGUGGGUGUUUUGAAAUAUUGCUAAAAGACCAAACUUAAUAAACUAUUUUUCAUCUUUUUUUCCCUUUUUUCCUAAAGGUUGAGUGAUAUCCGCAUUUUAAAUUCAUGUGGAACAAAAGCUAAUGAAUGCACAAAAUUAUUUUAUUUUUUCCGAGAAAAAUGGGUAAGAGAAGAAGAUUUUUCUCUUGAAAAAGAAAAACUAAUACGAUGCAAACAUAGGAAAGAGGUCAGUGUUUUGGAUUAGAAUUUAUUAUUGACCUGAAUUUUAUACUAAACUCUUUUAUAGUACUGCGAUUAAUGAACUCAUGAUUUGCUUUUGCUUUUACUUCAAGUGAAAGAAAGAGGAAACCUUUUGUUUUUUGUUUGAUUCUUGACUAUAGAUGUUACCUAUAUAGAGAGUUGAGGUAGCUGCCUUAAGUGAUGGUGAUAAAAAGAUUAAGCAGCGCACAAAAUCUGACUGUCGUCCAGACCAUCCAGCUGUGAUGGCUCUAGUUUUUUGGUUACAUUAGCUUUAGUGGAAAGGAGGGCCAAUUUAACAAAGACUAGAUUUGGUGGCUUACUAUAAUGCUUAUUCUCAAGGAAUCUAAUGUUAUAAGAUGAUUUAAUGAUCUUCUAUGAUUGUGAGUAGUAUAGUAUAAUUGAAAAGAGCCUGGGCUCCUAUGAUGAAUAUUUAAUAGUAACACAAUAUUGUGAUUGAAAAAAACACUGUUACAAUAAACUCUUCAUUUAUUCAUUGCGGAUAUUGAAUGGCAAACAGAGAAUAAAAUGAAGCAGAGGAAUCUCAUUGCUAGUAAAAUUGACCCUCUUUAAUGUUAUAUGGCACAGGUGUGUGUACAGCAAGAGCAAGUGACUUGCAGUUUUUUUUUGUAAAAUAUACAGGUUAUGACCAUGAUCAUUGUAGUUAGGUUUUGAUGAUUUUAGAUGCUUUUUUAUUUUUUUUAAAUUGUGACACCUUUGAUUUAUGGUAGUUUUGCAGAAGAAAAAAAUAUAUAUAAAAAUUAGGAAGAAUGAGUUAACUAACAAUUGCAAUCAUUACAACAAUGUUGAUGAGUGAUACAUCAUUUGAAAUUUACAUGUCAGUUGCUAAAAUGAUGAAAAAAAACAAUAAACAAUAGCAGUAAUAUUUUUAUGGAAAUUCUUGGUUUUUAUGGAAAUACUCUUGCUGAAAUUCUAAUUUUGACUUUCAACUCUUGGUUUUUAUGGAAAGUAAAAUGACUUGUUUGUUAUAUUCAUACAAUCCACUCUACAUAAUGAUUUCAUUUUUAAUAAAUGCUUGAUGAUCUCCACUGAAAAACUACUUCAAUUCUUUUGUUUUAUUUAACUUUUUGGUUGUUGAAAAUAGCCUUAAUUUUCAAAUAAUUGGAGAAAGAGUAAAGAACAUUUAACAAAUUUAUGUGCCAAAAAUAAAGGAGAAAUUGAAGAGAAAGGGUGCUUGCAGAAGUGGGUGCAAAGAUAAAUCAGUCUAUAAGAAUUAUUGUGGUUAUUAAUUUUUUGGCAAUAUAAAAAUUCUUCAGCAAAUAAAAAUUGAUUUUUUUCCGAUUUACUAAAAAAUUAAUUAAAAAAUUCGGCCACAGCAUUUUUUAUGGGUGCAUAUACCCUCCCUUUAAAAAAAAAUAAUAAUUAAUGCUUAAUAUAGUAUUAAAUACCAAAAUAUCAAUAUUUGGCUACUCAAAUUUAUAUCAUUAGGUCCUUCAAAUUUAAAAUUGAAGAUACAAAAGGAAAUAUAUAUAAAUUUCAUUCUCAUGGAAAGGAUUCUCUUAUAAUCUUAUAAUAUUUGAGUUUUGAAAUUUUUUGAAACAAAUGUAAUUUUAUUUGUGUACAAUCAAUAUUUACUUAUUUAUUAUAUUUUAAUUUGUUAACUAUCAAUCAUUUAAGUAUAUUUGGUCAGAAAAAUUAUAUCAAGAGAGAAUCCUAAUUUCACGCAAACACAAAUACAAGAUAAAUAUGUCAAUUUCUAUACUAUUCACUUUCCUGUAGAAUCAAUUAUCUAAAAUGCAAGUUUGUGGCUACAGAAAACUAAUGCAUCAUUUUCUUCUUGAUUUGAUGAGAUGACGCCAUUACAAAAAAAUAAGUACCUUAAUUGACGGGCACUGAGUGAUGUGAAUACUACCAGCCAGUUCAUCUCUUCCAGUCUUGCUUAAUCACAAUCACAAACACCACGAGAUUGACAUUUGCAUUAUAUAUAUCUUCAGCAAUCGAAACACCUUGCAUUACCAAAUUAACCGGUAACAAACAAAGCAAUCUUUCAUGGAGAGAAACUUUAGUCUCAGUAUGAUCACUGUGUCAUUAACCCACUUCCUGCUUCUUUGCUUGGUUGUUGCAGCAGCAGCAGCCGCAAGCAACAAUAUUACCACAGACCAACAAGCUCUUCUUGCCCUGAAAGAUCAUAUAACUUAUGAUCCAACCAACCUUUUUGCCCAUAAUUGGACCUCGAAUACCUCUGUUUGUACCUGGAUUGGCAUCACUUGUGAUGUCAAUAGCCAUAGAGUCACAGCCUUAGAUAUUUCUCAAUUCAAUCUACAAGGCACCAUCCCUCCUCAACUUGGAAACCUCUCUUCACUUACAACGCUUAAUCUUAGUCAUAACAAGCUUUCUGGAGACGUUCCAUCCUCCAUCUACACCAUGCAUUCGCUAAAAUUUCUUGACUUCACUGAUAACCAGCUCUCUGGUUCAGUGUCUUCCUUCGUCUUCAGCAUGUCUUCAAUAUUAGAAAUUCUUUUGACCAAUAACAGAUUUUCUGGUGAGCUUCCGAAAAAUAUUUGCAACUAUCUUCCUUAUUUGAAAGCCCUUUUCUUAAACAAAAACAUGUUUCAUGGCAAAAUUCCUUCUGCUUUAUCAAAGUGCAAACAACUGCAACAAUUAAAUUUGCAGUUCAAUAAUUUAUCCGGUGCAAUACCGAAAGAAAUCGGCAACUUGACUAUGCUCAAAGGCAUAUAUCUCGAAUACAACAAACUCCACGGUAUGUUCAUAAUACUAUGUAAAUGUUUUAAUUUCUCACUUGUUAUUUUCUUGAAUACUUUAGACAAGAUCUCGUAAGGGAGAUAUUUUUGGAUCUGUGUUAAUUUGCCAGGUGAGAUACCCCACGAAAUCGCUAAUCUUCGAAAUCUAGAGGAUUUAUUGCUUGGAAUGAACAACCUAGUUGGUGUGUUACCAGCUCCAAUCUUCAACAUGUCAACACUGAAAUUAUUUGACCUCAUAAAUAACUCUCUCUCCGGAAGUCUUCCAUCAAGAAUAGACCUUUCACUUCCAACUGUCGAGUUUUUUGGCUUGGCACUGAAUAGAUUUUCUGGAACCAUUCCUAGUUCCAUCACCAAUGCUUCUAAGCUCACCGUUCUAGCGUUGGGAGAGAACACAUUUUCGGGCUUCAUUCCAAACACAAUUGGUAAUUUAAAAAACCUUGAGUGGCUCAGCUUGGAGAAUAAUUACUUGAAAUCUUCAACCUCAAAAUUGAGCUUUCUUUCCUCUUUGGCAAAUUGCAAGAAAUUAAGAUUCUUAAACUUAGCAGGCAAUCCACUUGACGGCUUCCUUCCAAGUUCAAUAGGUAAUCUUUCUGUGUCUUUGGAAACACUUUUCAUCGGCAAUUGCAGUAUUAGUGGCAACAUUCCUCAAGCAAUUAGCAAUUUAAGCAACUUGUUGACCUUAGCAUUAGAAUUCAAUAAAUUGACUGGACCAAUUCCAAUUACAUUUGGCCGACUACAGAAACUCCAAGGCUUAGAUCUUGCAUUCAAUAAGUUGGUAGGUUCAUUCCCAGAUGAGCUUUGCCAUCUAGCAAGGCUGGAUCAAUUGUACUUAUUUGGCAAUAAGCUUUCAGGAUCUAUACCUUCAUGCCUAAGUAAUCUCACUUCUCUAAGAUCUCUCUACUUAGGGUCUAAUAGGUUUACUUCUGUUAUUCCCUCAACUUUCUGGAGCCUAAAAUACAUCUUGUUCUUUGACUUUUCAUCAAAUUUCUUGGUUGGUACUCUUUCUUUCGACAUAGGUAAUUUGAAGGUGCUUCUAGGAAUAAAUUUAUCAGAAAAUAACUUAUCGGGUGAUAUGCCAGCCACAAUUGGAGGACUGAAAGAUCUUCAAUUUAUGGACCUAGCAUAUAAUAGAUUGGAAGGCCCAAUUCCUGAAUCAUUUGGUGACUUGACAAGUUUGGAGGUUUUGAAUUUGUCAAAAAAUAAAAUCUCUGGGUCUAUUCCAACAUCCAUAGAGAAACUCAUUUACCUUCGAGAGUUAAAUCUCUCUUUCAAUAAACUUGAAGGUGAGAUUCCUAGUGGAGGAAUUUUUACCAACUUCACAGCUGAGUCAUUUAUGGGAAAUGAGUUAUUGUGUGGUUUACCAAAUCUUCAAGUCCAACCAUGCAAACUUAGCAAGCCUAGGACAGAACAUAAAUCAAGGAAAAAGAUACUUCUCAUUGUGAUUGUUUUGCCAUUGAAGAUUGCUCUAACGAUAGCAAUCACUCUAGCUCUCAAAUCUAAGCUGAUCGAAUGUAGAAAAAGAAGCACAGAGUUAUCAAAUGAUAGUAUCUUGUCAUCACAAGCAACACUAAGAAGAUUUUCAUACUUAGAACUUUUACAAGCAACAGAUAAUUUUGCUGAAAACAACAUAAUUGGCAGAGGAGGUUUUGGUUUCGUUUAUGGAGCAAGACUUGAAGAUGGGAUGAAGAUUGCAAUAAAAGUGUUCACCAGCAAUGUGCAAGCGCAUUGAAGAGUUUUGAGGCUGAAUGUGAAGUGUUAAAAAAUAUUCGCCAUCGAAACCUUAUCAAAGUUAUCAGCAGUUGCUCGAACGAUAACUUCAAAGCAUUAGUCCUAGAAUACAUGUCCAACGGGAGCUUGGAGGAUUGGCUGCAUUCUAGCAAUUAUGUGCUGAAUAUAUUUCAGAGGUUGAACAUAAUGAUUGACGUUGCAUCAGCUUUAGAAUAUCUCCACUUCGAUCAUUCAACUGCUAUUAUUCAUUGUGACUUAAAGCCUAGUAAUGUAUUGUUGGACGAAAAUAUGGUUGCUCAUUUGAGUGAUUUUGGCAUAGCAAAGCUUUUAAGUGGAGAGGAUGAGUCUACGAUGCGAACAAAAACCCUUGCCACUAUAGGUUAUAUGGCACCAGGUUUGCUUCAAACAACUUUUUUUUUAGUUCAUUUUAAAUUUUCUAAAUCAUUGAUUUUUACGAUCCUCAUAUCAAAUUGUUACUGAUUAUUUAUCUAAUUGUGAAAUUAAUUUGAUUCAUAGAGUACGGCAUAGAAGGAGAAGUAUCUACAAAAAGUGAUGUUUACAGCUAUGGGAUUAUGUUGAUGGAAACUUUUACCAAGAAAAAACCCACAGAUGAAAUUUUUGUUGGAGAAUUGAGCUUAAAGCGUUGGGUUAAUGACUUGCUUCCUACUUCAUUAGAGGAAGUUGUGGACAAAACUCUGCUAAGUGGAGAGGAAAAACAUUCUUUAGGAAAGGAGCAAUGUCUGUUGUCUAUCUUUAGUUUGGCUCUGGAGUGUACAAUGGAAUCACCGGAAAAGAGGAUUAAUGCAAAAGAUAUUGUUACCGGAUUACUCAAGAUAAAAGCCGCAUUGAGUAAAAGGAUAGGAAAUUUAAGUUAAUUUCGUUUGCUUUCAUUGAUAGUUAAUCUGAAUUCAUGUAAUAAGUGUAGGAAUCUUAUAUCUUUUCCUUUCAUAUAUUUUUUUUCCUUGAGAAAACUGUUGUAGUCAUCUUGUUUCCGUGGACAGAGUUGAUUUAGUUUUUCCAUGAAAUGCUACUGAUGACAUUUGUUUUAUACUUUCUCUUUUUUUGCAUGUGUUUUGGCUGCAGGCUAAGAAGUCUAACUACACUAAAAGAAUAUGAUUUAAUUUAUUAAACAAAACUUCAAGUUCAAGAAAAGUAUUUCACUGCCCCUAAUGCUUUGGACACCUACUGGUAGGUUUGUACGUGUCCUCAACUUUUUUUUGGAGCACAAAAUUCGAGUCCCAUGGAGUCUCAAACAUUCCUUUCCCACAUCCCGAGCACGCUGAAUUUAUCAGACUGACUGUUGUGCGCGGAAUGCGGAAUCAAGCACGCCAAAUAAUUACAGAAAAAUAAAUGACACAAGAAUUUACGUGGUUCGGUAAUUAAACCUACAUCCACGGAGGUAAAAAAAAAAAUUGUUUAUUUAACAAUUAAUAGAGUACAAAUAUUUGAGUAACGAAUCUCACUUCCCAAAAACCCAAAUAUACCCAGUACUCUCACACUCUGCAGGAAAGAUAAAUUCCCCAGACAAACUUCUCUCACUUCUCUCAAAAGCUUAGAAACUUAUAAGCUUAACAAUUUUAGGAUACCAAAGAAUGGAAGAAGUGCCAUCUAUUUAUAGGGAAAAUAAUGGCACUAUUGAACCAACCCUUUUACUAUUCCACCUAACCUAAGCAAAUAGUCAAUGGUGUCCAUUUGGCAAAUUUGACAAAUUUGCCAACUUUCCAUUUUUUCUUCAAAUGUUUGGUAGCUCUUUGAAAAAUUGCCACAUACAUGACUUUUCAACACUGACAACCGGGACAUAUACAAGAGUGAAAUGUUCAGAGCACGCUAAGUUCCAGUGAAAGAGAUUAAUUUACGGAAACUAAAGCCAAGAGAAUAAAGGACAACACUUAUGUGAAGCGACAUAAUUGUAUUGAUAGCACAAUGUCAAAUUCAUACAGAGAUCUAGUAUACUAUUUACAGCCGGUAAGGGCUAAGAAUUGAUGUAGCUAUAAUACAAAUACGAUAAGGUAUGUUGUGCGCUAUUGUUUUUAUUCUCCAAUCAAUCUUGACCCUUGAUGCUUGGUUCUCAAUCUUGUCCAUUGAUCUUCUCUGAUUUUGGAGACUUCAAGACCUUUCAGUAUCAUUCCUUGUUAUUGGUGUCUUCCGUGCUGUAGAAUUCAUAUACAAGUUUUCCCGCCGACUUGCCAAGUAUUCGUUCAUUGGUGCAUUUUUAUCAAACAGCUGGGCUACUUAUGCCAGACACCGCCUGGUUUAACUCCCCCUCUCUAGCUCAACUAUCUGGGAAGACAAUUAAUUGAGCUUGUUUCACAAGUAUAUGAAUCUGAAAGUUAAAUUUUAAAAAUUAUAUUCGGACUCUACAUUUUGUAAUGAACAUUGGUUUGACUUGUUAUACAUUUAUGCGUACAUAAUUAAUAACCGAUUCUCAAGUGCGGACAUUCAAGAGCACUGCUUAAAGACCAAAUAUUUUGAUUUACUACUUUUUGUCUUUCAAUUUUCUUUUAAGUUCUGAUGACGUCCGCAUUUUAAAAUCCUGUGGAACAAAGGCCUGAGGUGCAUAUAAAAUUCUUUUAUUUUUCAGAGGAAAAUGGGUGAGAGAAGAAGAUUUGGCAAAAGAAUUGCAACGGCAUUUGAAACUAGUCUUCGUCUUUUAAUUCUUUUAUAUUUGUUUUUGUUAUUGAUGUUAGCUUGGAUGUGUGCGCGUGUGACUGAAUUCAACUUAUAUUUGUUUUUGUUAUUAUUAUUAAUUUUAUUUGUUUUUGUUAAAUUGGACCACCCCAUUAUCAAAUCAACACGGUUUAAUUAUUAUUAAUUCUACACUUUUUUUACGAACAAAUAUAAAAUAAAAGGACAUUUACAUCCCAAAUUUUAGUGCAAUAGUCAUCAACAUCCCUAAAUUUUUAAAAAGAGACAUCAAAAUCAUUUUUUGAUCUUAAUACUCUUAUACGGUACCUCUAUUAUUCCCAAAAAUUGACUCUAAUGUUUUAUAAUAAAUAAAAAUAAAACUUUAAAAUAAAUGUAAUUACAUAUACAUUUUAAAAUAAUUUCAAUAUUUAAAAAAUAUUUUUAACAUUUUACAAUCUAUUAUAUUUUAUUAUAUUAAAGUAAAUUUUAUUAUAAAUAGAAUCAUAUUAUUAAAAUAAAUGCAUUAAAAUUUAAAUUAUUUUGAAUAUCAUGUAAGAUAAUAAUUUUAACAUUACUAGUGUGUCAGAUUUUUUUUUUUAAUUGUAGAAUGUAUUUAGCGCAAAUAUUUAUUUAAAAUCUCUACAAUAAAUAAAAGAUUUAAAUAAAUAUAAUAAUUUACAUAUCUAAAUUUAUUAAAAUAUUUUAAUAUUGUUAGUCUACUGCAUAGAUCACAAUAUUUAUAUAACAUUUGUAUUUAUUAAAAACUUUAAAAUCAAUUCUUUUGAGAAUAAUAGAGGUAAAGAGUAUAAUGGUAAUAAAGGGGACUUUGUACCCCUUUCUAAAAACUUGAGGAUGUUAGUGACCAUUUCUCCAAACCUUCAGUGUGUUGAUGUAAUUGUCAAGAAAUACAGUAUCUAAACUUUGAAGUAACAAGGAUCACCUUUUAUGAAAUCAUAUUGCUUUUCAUGAUAGACUGUUACCAUUUUUCUACGAUAGAUUCAGUAAAAAAUUGAUUAAGAUGUCUACUCAUGGAGAGUGAAAUUUAUGUUCAAAACUAAUUUCAACAGGCAUGCACCAUCGAACGUGUUUCUCAUGGAAAAGUUGCUUGGAUUUUAGGGACUUUAUGUUCAAAUAUUCAACACGGCAUGCACCACGCGAUUGAACAUGCAAAAGUAGGGGUCUAUUUUCAUUUUCAGCAUUAUAGAAAUCUUAAUUUUGUUCAUUAUUUAUUUUGAUCAGCACUCUUGAAUCUCCAUGUAUUGCCAAUCACUAAGAAACAACAUAUUCUUAUUAAUUAUAUCCUCUAAUGGAGAGAACUCAUUGUCUCAGUAAGAUCACUGUGUCAUUAACCCACAGCAUGCUGAUUUGCUUGGUUGCUGCAGCAAGCAAAAAUAUUACCACAGAUCAAAAAGCUCUUCUUGCCCCAAAAGAUCACAUAACUUAUGCUCCAACUAAUCUUUUGACCCAAAAUUGGACCUCAAAUACCUCUGUUUGUACGGGGAUUAGCAUCACUUGCGAUGUCAAUAGCCAUGAAGUUGCAGCCUUGGAUAUUUCUCAAUUCAAUCUACAAGGCACCAUUAUUCCAAACACAACUGGUAAUUUAAGAAACCUUAAGUGGCUCGGCUUGGCUUAUAAACUACUUGACAUCUUCAACUUCAAAAUUGAGCUUUCUUUCCUCUUUGGCAAGUUGCAAAAAAUUAAGAAUCUUAGGCUUACUGGAAAUCCACUUGACCGUAUCCUUUCAGGUUCAAUAGGUAAUCUUUCUAUGUCUUAGGAAAGGUUUCACAUCGCCAAUUGCAGCAUUAGUGGCAGAAUUCCUCAAGUAAUCAGCAAUUUAAGCAACUUGUUGGCUGGUGUGCAAAAUUUUAAUAUACUUGCAAGCGCAUGAAUCUAGAAAUAGAAUAAUAGUAACGAGGUCAAACCCACAUGGAUCGUUAUAAACUGACAAAAGAAUAGCUGCUGGUCUAGAGGUGGCUUACUACAUUCAUACAAGAUCGUUUCUUGUUCUCUAAGAUAUGCAUUAUACUAAUAAUGCUAUACAAACUUAUCCAAAGGUCUAUUAAUUAAUUCAUUAAUCCAACGGCUUGUUAGGUUGUCCUUUCAUCCAUACAGCUGCAUGCUUGUCUUCUUAUAUACUGAUCUUAUCCUCUAGAUCUGUUCAGGCUGAGUGAUCUCUCACAUUUGCCAUAUCAGAAGAUUACAUGCCAGUAAUGUCAUGUGAUGACCUGUUGCUUGGUGAUGUCGAAUGCCUGGCCUUUACUUCUCUGAGCAAAUUGAUCAAACAAUUUGUUCAUUUUAUCGAACACCUUCACCAACCAACAUUUUAUUUACUUUUGAUGGUUUUUAAGUGCAUUUAAUGAUUAUUUUUGCUCCAACUUCAGAUAAACCAAACGCUAGUAUAUUAGAAGAAGAAGUUCACUGGCAGCUAACCAGGUCAAAAUAGCGACUCUAUAUAAAAAAUAUAUAUAAAAAAUAAAUAAAUAAAAUGGGACUUUAUUUAAUUAAUUGUUGGUCUAAAGCUGUUGGUAUCCGUUGGCCACGUUUCUGAAGAGUCAUCUCAAAUCGAAAUUUUUAACGAACAAAGAACUUUGCUUUUUUCCAUUGUUCACAUUGCUGCUGGCUGCCACCCGUGAGAUAAAAGUGCUACAAGCUUUCCGUCGACAUUCCCCCCUCCAUUUUCACCAUGCAUAAGCUGAAAUUUCUUGAUUUCAGUGAUAAUCAGCUCUCUGGUUCUUUGUCCUCCGUCACCUUCAACUUGUCUUCAGUAUUAGAUAUUCGUUUGGAUAGUGACAAACUCUCUGGUGAACUCCCAGUAAAUAUUUGCAAUUAUCUUCACUAUUUAAAAGUCCUUUUUUUGGCCAAAAACAUGUUUCACGGUCAAAUACCACUGGCUUUAUCCAAGUGCAAACGGCUACAACUGUUAAAUUUGGGGUUCAAAAAAUUAUCAGGAGCCAUACCGAAAGAAAUCAGCAACUUGACUAUACUUCGAAAGAUAUCUCUCAGAAAUAAUAAACUUCGCGGUAUAAAUGUUUAUAAUAUAUACUUUGUAAAUGCUCUUAUUAAUCAUUCUUGAACUUUCUUAGAUACUUUUGUCUAAAUAAGAUUUUGCAAAAGAGUUUUUUGCAUCUCUGUUAAUUUUGCAGGCGAGAUACCUCACGAAAUUGGGUAUCUUCCAAAUCUAGAGAAUUUGGUGCUUGGAUUCAACAACCUAGUAGGUGUUGUACCUGCUGCAAUCUUCAACAUGUCAACAGUGAAAAAAAUUUACCUAUUAGAUAACUCUCUCUUGGGAAGUUUUUCAUUAGGAAUAGACCUUUCACUUCCUAACGUUGAGAGACUGAACCCGGGGCUGAACAGAUUUUCUGGAACCAUUCCUAGUUUCAUCACCAACGCAUCUAAACUUGUAUAUCUAGAUAUGGGAACAAACUCUUUUUCGGGCAUUAUUCCGAACACAAUUGGUAAUAAUCUAAGAAACGUUGACUGGCUCGACUUAACAUACAAUCGCUUGACAUCAUUAACUCUAGAAUUGAGCUUUCUUUCCUCUUUGACAAUUGCAAGAAAUUAAGAUUCUUAGGCUUAACAGGCAAUCCGCUUGACGGUGUCCUUCCAACUUCAAUAGGUAAUCUUUCUAUGUCUUUGGAAAACAUUUACAUCUCAAAUUGUAAUAUUGGUGGCAGCAUUCCUCAACUAAUCAGCAAUUUAAGCAAUUUGUUGCUCUUAGAUUUAGAAGGCAAUAAGUUGACUGGAUCAAUUCCAGUCACAUUCAGCCGGUUGCAGAAACUCCAGGGUUUAUAUCUUCCAUUUAACAAGUUAGCAGGAUCAAUCCCAGACCAGCUUUGCCAUUUAGCUAGACUGAAUACAUUAGGUUUGGCUGGUAAUAAGUUUUCUGGAUCAAUCCCUUCAUGUUUAGGUAAUCUCACUUCUCUAAGGUCUCCCGACUUAGGGUCCAAUAGGCUUACAUCAGUCUUGCCCUCAACUUUUUGGAAUCUAAAAGACAUCUUGUUCUUUGACCUUUCAUCAAAUUCUUUGGAUGGUCCUCUUUCUUUAGACAUAGGAAAUUUAAGGGUUGUGAUAGGAAUAAAUUUAUCACGAAAUAACUUUUCAGGUGAUAUCCCAAGUACAAUUGGAGAUCUAAAAGACUUACAGAAUAUCUCCUUAGCAUGUAAUGGAUUGGAAGGUCUAAUUCCUGAAUCAUUUGGUUACUUGACAGGUUUGGAAAUUUUAGAUUUGUCAAAUAACAAAAUCUUUGAGUUUAUUCCGAUAUCUUUUUAAAAACUCUUGUACCUCAAAGAGCUAAAUUUGUCUUUUAACAAACUAGAAGGAGAGAUUCCUAGGGGAGGACCUUUUGCAAAUUUCACAGCUAAGUCAUUCAUGGGAAAUGAGAAAUUGUGUGGUUUACCAAAUCUCCAAUUCCCAAAAUGCAAGCGUCGGACGCGUCGAAAAUCAAAGAAAAAGAUGCUUCUACUUGUGAUUGUCUUGCCAUUGAGUACUGCUCUAAUAAUCGCAGUCCCUCUAGCUCUAAAAUAUAAAUCGAUAAGAGGUGGAAAGAGUAGUACUAGGUUGUUAAAUGAUGGUAUCUUGCAUCACAAGAAACACUAAGAAGAUUUUCAUACCAAGAUCUUUUUCGUGCAACAGAAAAAUUUAGUAAAGAAAAUCUAAUUGGCGUAGGAAGUUUUGGUUCUGUUUAUCGAGGAAGAAUUCAUGAUGGAAUUGAGGUUGCAAUAAAAGUGUUUCACCAGAAUUGUGCAAUGGCAUUGAAGAGUUUUGAGGCUGAAUGUGAAGUGAUGAAAAAUAUUCGUCAUCGAAAUCAUGUCAAAAGAAUCAGUAGUUGUUCGAACGAAGAUUUCAAAGCAUUAGUUCUAUAAUAUAUGCCCAAUAGGAGCUUGGAGGAUUGCCUGCAUUCUACCAAUUGUUCGUUAAAUAUUUUUGACAAGUUGAACAUAAUGAUAGAUGUUGCAUCGGCUUUGGAAUAUCUCCACUUCAGUCAUUCAACUCCUGUCAUUCAUUGCGACUUAAAGCCCAAAAAUGUAUUGUUAGAUAAAAAUAUGGUUGCUCAUUUCAGUGAUUUUGGAAUUGGAAGGCUCUUAACUGGAGAUCGAUCAAUGAUACAAACAGAAACACUUGUCACAAUUGGUUAUAUGGCACCAGGUUUGCUCUGAAACAAUUUUUGUUUUUUUUUUUUGGGUUUUCAUUCAGACUUUCCAAAUUAUUAUUUUUCCAUGAUCCUUCUAUCCUAAUGUUAUUGAUUAUUUAUCUAAUGAUAAAAUCAAUUUGGUUGAUAUAAUAUGGCAUAGAAGGACGAGUAUCUACAAGAAGUGAUGUUUAUAGUUAUGGAAUUAUGUUAAUAGAAACAUUUACUAGGAAGAAACCCACAGAUGAAAUGUUUACUACAGAAUUGAGCUUAAAACUUUGGGUUAACAACUUGCUACCUGCUUCAUUGAUGGAAGUUGUGGACAAAACUCUUUAAGUAGGGAAGAAGAAGAUUUUGCUGCGAUGGAGCAAUGUGUGUUAUCAAUCUGAGUUUAGCCAUGGAGUACGUGAUGGAAAUGCCAGAAAAAAGGAUCGAUCCAAUAGAUAUUGUAACUAAACUAUUGAAAAUAAGAGACAUAUUGAGUAAAAGGUUAGCAAAUUUAGGUUAAUCUCAUUUCUUGGCAUUGAUACUUGAAUCAAUAUACACUUAAUUUGAAUCAAUGUAUGAGUGUAAGAAUAUGAUAUAUUUUCCUUUAAUUUUUUUUCCUGAGAGAAAUAUCAUAGCUGUCUUGUUUCAAAUUAAUUUUAUACUUUUUUUUCUUUUUCUAAGAUCAUGCCAAAGAGUUGUAGGAAGAUCAGCCACAAAUUCAAAGCCGGCUAAGGCAUUUGAAGAUGGAGAGAUUGGUAGUUUUUUUCCCAUUAAAAUUAAUAUAUAUCACUUAUCCCAACUAUUUUCAUAAUGCCUAAUAAGCUCUUGGCACCAUAACUUUACCAUAUAACCCUUAUUUUGAAAUACACUUUUAUUCAUAUUAAUAUUAAUUAAAUAAAUCAUAUGAGUUGAAAUUAAAAAUUAAAAAAUUAAAUACCAAAAAAAAGAAAUAUACGUUUUAGUGUGCUAAAAAAUUAAUAUUAAAAUAUUUUUCUUAUAUAUAUAUAUAUAUUAUUCUCAAAAUAAUGUAUCAAGCAAAUGACUUUUUUCUCUUCUUUUUCUUUAACUUUUUUUGUGCUAGUAGAGUUUUUAGAUAUUAUAAAAACAAUAAAAGAAUAAGUGAUAUAUAUUAAUUUCAGUUGAAAAUAACCAACAAUCCCCCUUUAAUUACGUGUCACACCCAACUUAUAAAUUCUAUCAAUCAUGUAAUUAUGGUUGGUUUCUCUUUUUCUUUUUUUUGCAUGUGUUUAGGUAGAAUAGUGGUUUGGUUGCACUCUAAGAAGUCAAACUACACUAAAAGAAUAUGAUUUAAUUUAUUAAACAUAACUUCAAGUUCAAGAAAAGUAUCUUAUUGCCCCCAAUGCUUUGGACACCUAUUGGUAGGUCUGUACGUGUCCUCAACUUUUUUUUGGAGCACAAAAUUCGAGUCCCAUGGAGACUCAAACAUUCCUUUCCUUCAUCCCGAGGGCGCCUUCUGUCCUCUGUUUCUGUUUCCACACACAAAUAGCAAAAAGAAAUUAGAAUGACAACUGGGACAUAUAUAAGAGUGAAAUAAUUAAAAAAUUAUGCUUUUUUGUUUGUCGUGUUAAAAUCGUAAGUACCGAUGUACUGUGAAAGAGAUUAAUUUACAGAAACUGAAGCCAAGGGUUCAAAAAAAAAGUGCAAAGAGAAUAAUUGUAUUGGUAGCACAAUGUCAUAUUCAUACAGAGAUCAAGUAUAUUAUUUACGGCUGGUAAGGACUAAGAAUUGAUGUAGCUAGAAUGCAAAGAUGAUAAGGUAUGUUGUGCACUAUUGUUUUAUUCUACAAUCAAUCUUGACCCUUGAUGCUUGGCUCUUAAUCUUGUCCAUUGAUCUGGUCAACUAUCUGGGAAGACAAUUAAUUGAGCUUGUUUCACAAUUAUAUGAAUCUGAAAGUUAAAUUUUAAAAAUUACAUUCGGACUCUACGUUUUCUAAUGAACAUUGGUUUGGCUUAUAAGCUUAUUAUGCUUAGGCUUAGGCUUGGUAAGAUUAUCGGUCGGUAGAUGAACAAGUUUUAGAGCUUUCGAAUUCAUGCCAAUUAAUUUUCAACUAGGCUAUUACCACAAUAAACAUUUAGAUGAACUAUUAUUGAAAUUUUAUUGAGAAGUGGAACAUGUCGCAUACCAAUGCACGGACAUAUCUUCAAAUAGUGGUAACUCCACACAACAUGGCACAACAAAUUAAGAGUUAUAUAGAUAAAAUCUUUCUACAAUUACAAUAGAUUGAAUUUAGUAAGAAAUUGAUUGUUAUCAUUUUUCUCAUGGAAAAGUUGUUUGGAUUACAAUAGAUUGAAUUUAUGUUCAAAUAUUCAACACGGCAUGCACCACGCGACUGAACUUGCAGAAGGAGAGGUCCAUUUUCAUUUUCAGCAUCACAGAAAUCUAAAUUUGUUCAUUAUAUAUUCUGAUCAGCACUUGAACAUCCAUGCAUACUCCUAUUAAUUAUAUCCUCUAAUGGAGAGAACUCAUUGCCUCAGUAUGAUCACUGUGUCAUCAACCCACUGCCCGCUUCUUUGCUUGGUUGUUGCAGCAAGCAACAAUAUUACCACAGAUCAACAAUAGUUUGUCCAUUUGUUUCAGUGAGGUCGUCAUUAAAAAUUAAUUUUCAUAUUGAUUUUCUUAAUUAUAAAUAAUACUAAUGAUAUUUCAUAGUUAUAAAUAUAUUAGAAUUAAUCAAAAUCAUUUUUUAGUGCGGCAUGGCUAAAACUACCUUCUUCUUUUUUUUUUAUAAGUAAUUACUACUUUAAGGAAAAUACUCCUAUUUUCAGGGAAAAGUCAAGUACCUGUAGUUGUGAAGACUCGAGCUCACCCUCUUAUGAUAAAUCUUCAUAUCAAUUACAUAAAUAUCCUCUAAGUUUUUAGUUAACUAUUCAAAAUUCGAUGUUAUACGGGUAUUUCAUUUAUUUGAGUAGGGGUUAGGGGUCAAUUGGAUACAAAUUCAAAAUUAUCCUUACUUGAGAAGGUGAUAAAAAUUGGGGAUUUAGUUUGGGUGUCAUUAGCUACAAAUAUUAAACUCAUACAUCUAAUUCAAAAUUGCAUCCAGGUUCAUUGCAGCUAAGGCUUGUGGAAUUUCCUCAGUAAGAUGUGAGUAGUCAUACCUACGUCGACAUUCAAUGGCUGUAUGUUUCGGUAAAUGACAAAUUUGGCAUAUGACAGUUUCUUCAUUGACUUCCUCAGCUUGUUGUUUGGAUUGAUUCUGAAUUUUGUGCCAAGGCUGUCCAGAAUUAUUUUGUCGAGGUUGCUGCCACUGUUGUCCCGAAUUUCCUUGCCAUGAUUGUUGCCCUUGUUGACUUGGAUUAUUGUUUGAUUUUUGCCAUGGCUGACUUGCAUUAUUAUUCCAACUUUUUCCACCAUUGUAGUUGAUUUUUUGACCACUUGAAUCAGCCAAAUUUUGUCCUCCUGCUGCUGUAAAACCACGACCUUUUGAGUUAAAGAAACCUCCAUUUCCACGACCUUUUCCCUUGCCUCGUUGGCUAAAAAAGGCUUGAGCCAGAUUGAUUGUAUUCUUCUUUUCUUCUUCAAAAUUAAUAAGAGUUUGUUCAUGAUUUUCGAGGGCCAUGACAAACUGCUUAAAUGAGGGAUAAGGUGGUUUUGAAAGUUGAGCAAGUUUGAAGUCUUGACUUUAUCGAAGUCAUUCACUGGUUUAUUUAUUGCAGCCAAACAAUCACAGAUAUGCUUGUAUUUGCGCACAUACUCUUCAACUGAUAGAGAUCCCUUUUUAAACCGAGAGAAUUACUAUAUUUACACAAUUAACCUUGGCUAGAAUUAAUUGUCCAGAUUGGAUGAUAACUAGAGAAUAGAAAUGAAGAAAAGGAAGCACACAACACCGAGAAGAGUAAUAAUUAAUGCUGCCAUUGACGAAAUGUUUUAUAUUACUCUUCUUUCUUGGUAUUUAUUUAUUUACAAUUUUUAAUGUAAAUAUACAGUUGUUGGGCUAAUAUCUUAUUUACUUUUGAAUGUAUUAGAUGCCUUUUCUUUUUUCUUGGUUCAUAAUAAUUUUGUAGAAAUUCCUCAAGUUUCCCUAAAUGAUAGCACAUAUUCAUAAUUGGAUUGAUUGAGUAAUAAUAAAAUAUAUUUAUUUGGCAAACGGCAGUUAGGCUUUCUUCUGAUGCAGAUUAAUUAGAGAGAAUAUAUAACAAUUUUAAGCUCGUCAGAUUCGGAACCUGCUUAUCUGUCGUGUGGGGAUCACUUCUGUGUCUUAUUUUUCUAGAAAAAUCUGGACCAUUGGAUUUCCCAUUAUUCAAUAGAUAAAUGUUUGAUCUUGAUUCUUGAUUAAGAUCGAAGUUUGAUUCUAACCAAAAUGAUGUCAGAUUCAGAUUGCGAAGCAAGCAAAUUGAAAGUAACUUGUUCUAUUUUGAUAAACACUAGUUCUAAUAAAAAAUUUCUAAGUGUAUAUAUUUUUUUUAUUGUGUUCAAUUUAACUAGUCAAAUCUAUUUUUAAAUAUUUUAUUAACAAUGAUAUGAAAAUAUUCGAACCCCUUGUCAUUGUAAAGUGAAUUACUAUCCAACUACACCAAAUAAUGUUUUCAAAUUGUAAACUGCAAAUCGUGUGUUUGCUCCAUUACAGCGUUUCUUCAAUUUAAAAAAGAGAAUCAUUUGCAUUCUAGAUUAAUCGUGGGUCUAUAUCCAAAUCUAAAAAUUGACUAAAUUCUUAAUCCUAACAAGAAAAAUUGAAGAUUAAAAACGACUAAUUUGGUACCAUACCACUAUUGUAACAUAGGUGGAUCCUCUAUUAAUUGGAGUAAAGAUUGAAUUAUCUCAUUUAUUAAGAUUUAUCAAAAUCUUGUAUCAAAAUCUAUUAAUGAUAUAGGUUCAAGGAUGAAAGAGUCACUUCAUUACUUUUGAGUUCCCAAAUAGAUGAAUGGAUGUUAUUUUUGGAUAGGUGCUAAAUCGAAUUAAGUUGUAGAUAAGAUAGAAAUGGAUUUGGAGAGAUUGGAAUCCUAGGUAAUCCGGUGCACGUUGUCGUGUUAAAUUCUCGUUGACUUCACGUUGACUGAAGCAUUAUUGGAAGAAACAAGUUUAUUGAGGUGAGGCCUUUGAGAUUGUAAGUGUUAAAUCUGAGAAGAAUACCCACACACCCAUUAUCCUAUUACUCUUAUAUCACAUGAAGAGAAUUCAACAUUUGAUUCACAUGGAACAAAAUUGUGAGGAUUGCGAGGGUUGAUGGAAUAUAAUUUAGAUACAAAGUGUUUACCAGUGCGAUGCUUCACAAGUGUUUUCAAUCAUAGUGAUUGUUUUAUCUGCACGUGGAUAUAAUCACAUGUCAGAAUUUUUUUCCUUAAAUUAUGAUCUUAUUUAGUACUGAGGUGUUAUAUCUUUUAAUGUACAAUUAUUGUUGGAAAAAAGUUGCAACUAUCAAAUAAAAUUAAUACUAUGUGCUAAAUAUAAUUGUUAAAUAAUAAUUUUGACAAAAUUAGUGAAGUUAAAUAGAUUUUUUUUUUAUCAUCCAAGUAUAAAAUCAAAUCAACUUAACUUCUAAGUUCUAUAUCGGCUACUGUUUAUCAUAUCUUUUAGUUUUGUAACUUUAAAGUUAUAGUUACCCAACCUCAAUUCUAAACAAGACCUAUAAAGAUCAAAGAUUUCCUCAUUAAAUUAUAUGUCUUGUGAUUGCUUAUUUAAUUUAUAUUUUUGUUAUUUAUCUUUAUUAAUUAUAAUCAUCUUUUUAUAAAUUAAAAUUGAAGGAAGUUGAUUGAUGUUGUUGACACACACACACACACACACGCACGCACACACUCGCAAAGAUAUAUUGGAAGUGCUUACGUCGACUCGAAGUUGUUGGGAAUUAAUGCAUGUAUUGAUUUAUUGGGAGUGUUUAAAUUGAUUUAUUAAUUGAAUAUUGUUUGAUUGCUUCAUAUCCAUUCUAGAAAGUUUAUUUCUUUGUGAAAUUUCAACGAAAUAUGUUUUUUUUUUUAAAUAAGGGUGUUCUAAAUCAUUUUAAAAAAUAUAUGGACUAAUUAGAAUUAAUUAUUAGGUAAUUAACUCAAUUUGUACAGGGUGAAACAACAUUUAUCCUAAUUAUAUCAUGAUAAAUACUUUUCUGAUUAGAAUUAGGAAAUCAUAGGUUAUUGAAUUGUUUUUUUUUUCCUUUGCGAAUGGAUUAGAGAAUUAGAAAACAUCAUGUUGAUGUCAAAAUCUGAUCUAGUCNNNNNNNNNNNNNNNNNNNNNNNNNNNNNNNNNNNNNNNNNNNNNNNNNNNNNNNNNNNNNNNNNNNNNNNNNNNNNNNNNNNNNNNNNNNNNNNNNNNNAGCAUUAAAUUUAUUUGGUAGAGAAUUGGCUGGUCAAUUGUCAAGAUGUCCUGCAAUCACUAGCGAUUAACCUACGAAUACCUGAAAUCACAAAAGACGGUAAGAGGCACUAGAAAUUUUUUCGGCGUGAACCUUCUGACGCUCAAGUCAGUUUAUAGGUUUACCAUAAUAAAAAUAAAUAAUUUCUAUUUAAAACAAAAAAUAAAGUUCAAAAGCUCAAAAAUAAAACCCAAUCCCAAUAUGAAAAUGAAUUUCUUUUUUUUUUUUAGCUUGGCCGAAUCCUUCUGCCUCCUAAAGAAACAUAAUAGAGAAGCAGGUAGCCAUGUUCCCUAGGUAACGCCCCACUCCCCUCUUUUAUUCCUCCCCCUCUCUUCCGUUUCCUUCUUUUGCUCACUAUCCUUUAUAAUUUUUUAUGCUUGUCUUCCCAAAAUAGCCUUUGAAUACACAAGUACAUGUCUAGCCUUUGGUGAGGAUAGUUUGGUCAUUGCAUUUUACAAGUAAGAUGAGUGGUGGAGAAAAAUGAGGAGUGCACAUAACUCUUCAGCAAAUCCCACCAACAAUUCCAUUUUCUUAAUUAAUUAAUCUCCUUUUUUAUCCCCAAACAAAUCCUAAUGAUACUCUUAUCAGGUUUAAAACAGUACACAAAUAGUGAAAAGCUAACUAGUCUGUAGAGUAAUUUGCUAAUUGCUAUCUCCUCUCUACGCGCGCUGAAUAAUUUGUUGCAUGCAAACUUUUUAUUUUAUGCAAAUCGUACGUACUGUAACAUUGGAAUUGAUGGAUAAGCAAAAAUACAAUAAUAUUUAUGCCAAUAAAAAUAGUUUUUUUUCCUUUUUAAAUAAACACAACGCGAUGUUGCUCUGCUCUACAUUUUUGCUAUCUCUUUAUUCUUUUUUUUUUUUUGGGCUUCUUAAAGCCUCAAACUUUGACAACCAAAACUUCAUCGACCUAUGAAAAAAUCUGCAGAUUAGUUUUUAUUAUCGGAAUAAUUGUUUGAGAAUACUAAAACAAAAUAUAAAAUAAGAAAAUACGGGGUUAAAUUUGGGGAAAACAAAAAGGCAUGUUCUAUCGAUUACUAUAGUUUAAGAAAACAAAAUCCAAUUGGGAAUUUUUUUCUUUAAUUUUUGUUUUACUUGAUUGAGAUUUCUCCUUAGUCCUUACAGUUUUAAGUUUGGAUGCCGUAGGGUUAGUAAUUUAGUACUUCCUUUGCAAGCUGAGGGCAAGAAUGAAAAUCUUUAAAGAAAUUAAAAAAGAUUAAAAAAAAGCAUACCAAUAGGUAAUUAUAAAUAACCAUAAAUAAACAUAAACAAAAUAUUUAUGAAGUAAAUUACACAUGCACAUAUUAUUUUUUUGUUUUAUUUCUUACUUGUCUAUUUUAUUUGUCUAUUUUAUUUGCUGCUUGAUAACCCGUAAAUACUAAUCUAGUACUGCUAAUUUCAGACACAAAAUUUUUAACUCUAGGCUGCAGUUUUGCUCAAAAUGAUGACCACUGGCUUCGCACCAUUUAACCGGCAUACAUUUCUACAAAUUGAACAAGGCUAUUGAUUUUCAUUAUUAUUUUUUAUUUAUUUAUAAAUUACUAUUUUAAUUUUCACUUUUUAUUGGGUUGUUUACAAUUUUAUUUUAUAAUUUCAAAUUUGUAUUUUAAAAUGCAGGUACAUUAUGUAUACAUAAUUAUUGAUUUUCAUAUGUGGGUGUUUUGAAAUAUUGCUAAAAGACCAAACUUAAUAAACUAUUUUUCAUCUUUUUUUCCCUUUUUUCCUAAAGGUUGAGUGAUAUCCGCAUUUUAAAUUCAUGUGGAACAAAAGCUAAUGAAUGCACAAAAUUCUUUUAUUUUUUCCGAGAAAAAUGGGUAAGAGAAGAAGAUUUUUCUCUUGAAAAAGAAAAACUAAUACGAUGCAAACAUAGGAAAGAGGUCAGUGUUUUGGAUUAGAAUUUAUUAUUGACCUGAAUUUUAUACUAAACUCUUUUAUAGUACUGCGAUUAAUGAACUCAUGAUUUGCUUUUGCUUUUACUUCAAGUGAAAGAAAGAGGAAACCUUUUGUUUUUUGUUUGAUUCUUGACUAUAGAUGUUACCUAUAUAGAGAGUUGAGGUAGCUGCCUUAAGUGAUGGUGAUAAAAAGAUUAAGCAGCGCACAAAAUCUGACUGUCGUCCAGACCAUCCAGCUGUGAUGGCUCUAGUUUUUUGGUUACAUUAGCUUUAGUGGAAAGGAGGGCCAAUUUAACAAAGACUAGAUUUGGUGGCUUACUAUAAUGCUUAUUCUCAAGGAAUCUAAUGUUAUAAGAUGAUUUAAUGAUCUUCUAUGAUUGUGAGUAGUAUAGUAUAAUUGAAAAGAGCCUGGGCUCCUAUGAUGAAUAUUUAAUAGUAACACAAUAUUGUGAUUGAAAAAAACACUGUUACAAUAAACUCUUCAUUUAUUCAUUGCGGAUAUUGAAUGGCAAACAGAGAAUAAAAUGAAGCAGAGGAAUCUCAUUGCUAGUAAAAUUGACCCUCUUUAAUGUUAUAUGGCACAGGUGUGUGUACAGCAAGAGCAAGUGACUUGCAGUUUUUUUUUGUAAAAUAUACAGGUUAUGACCAUGAUCAUUGUAGUUAGGUUUUGAUGAUUUUAGAUGCUUUUUUUAUUUUUUUUAAAUUGUGACACCUUUGAUUUAUGGUAGUUUUGCAGAAGAAAAAAAUAUAUAAAAAAAUUAGGAAGAAUGAGUUAACUAACAAUUGCAAUCAUUACAACAAUGUUGAUGAGUGAUACAUCAUUUGAAAUUUACUUGUCAGUUGCUAAAAUGAUGAAAAAAAACAAUAAACAAUAGCAGUAAUAUUUUUAUGGAAAUUCUUGGUUUUUAUGGAAAUACUCUUGCUGAAAUUCUAAUUUUGACUUUCAACUCUUGGUUUUUAUGGAAAGUAAAAUGACUUGUUUUUUAUAUUCAUACAAUCCACUCUACAUAAUGAUUUCAUUUUAAUAAAUGCUUGAUGAUCUCCACUGAAAAACUACUUCAAUUCUUUUGUUUUAUUUAACUUUUUGGUUGUUGAAAAUAGCCUUAAUUUUCAAAUAACUGGAGAAAGAGUAAAGAACAUUUAACAAAUUUAUGUGCCAAAAAUAAAGGAGAAAUUGAAGAGAAAGGGUGCUUGCAGAAGUGGGUGCAAAGAUAAAUCAGUCUAUAAGAAUUAUUGUGGUUAUUAAUUUUUUGGCAAUAUAAAAAAUUUUCAGCAAAUAAAAAUUGAUUUUUUCCAAUUUACUAAAAAAUUAAUUAAAAACUUUGGCGAUAGCAUUUUUUGUUGGUGCAUGUACCCUCCCUUUUAAAAAAAUAUAAUAAUUAAUACUUAAUAUAAUAUUAAAUACGAAAAUAUCAAUAUUUGACUACACAAAUUUAUAUCAUUAGGUCCUUAAAAUUUAAAAUUGAAGACAUAGAAUGAAAUAUAUAAAUAUAUAUAAAUUUUAUAAUCUUAAAAUAUUUGAAAGAUUUUUUAAAACAAAUGUAAUUUUAUUUGUGUACAAUCAAUAUUUACUUAUUUAUUAUAUUUUUAUUCAUUAACUAUCAAUCAUGUGAGUAUAUCUACUUAGAAAUAUCAUAUCAAGGGAGAAUCUUGAUCCCACGCACACGCAAAUAUGUUAAUUUCUAUACGCUUCACUUACCUGUAGAAUCAAUUAUCUAAAAUGCAAGUUUGUGGCCACAAAAAAGGCCAAAGAAAGAAGAUAAUAACAAUUGACUUGUAUAUUAUACUCAUACAAUCCACUCGACAUAAUGAUAUCAUUUUAACAAGGCAAUGGCUGAUGAUCUCCAUUGAAAAACUAAUUCAUUUCUUUUGCUUCAUUUAACUUUUUGGUUGUUGAAAAUAACCUUAAUGAUCAAAUUUAUGUGCAAAAAAAAAAGGAGAAGUUGAAGAGAAAGGGUGCUUGCAGAAGUGGAUGUCAAAGAAAAAUCGGUCCAUAAGAAUUAUUGCGGUUAUUUUUUGGCAAUAUAAAAUUUUUAUAGCAUGUAAAAAUUAAUUUUUUUUCCGAUUUACUAAAAAAUUAACUAAAAACUUCUGCGACAGCAUUUUUUAUGGGUGCAUAUACCCUCCCUUUAAAAAAAAUAUAAUAAUUAAUGCUUAAUAUAGUAUUAAAUACGAAAAUAUCAAUAUUUGACAACUCAAAUUUAUAUCAUUAGGUCCUUAAAAUUUAAAAUUGAAGACACGAAAAGAAAUAUAUAAAAAUUUCAUUCUCAUGGAAAGGAUUCUCUUAUAAUCUUAUAAUAUUUGAGUUCUGAAAUUUUUUUGAAACAAAUGUAAUUUUAUUUGUGUACAAUCAAUAUUUACUUAUUUAUUAUAUUUUAAUUUAUUAACUAUCAAUCAUGUAAGUAUAUUUAGUCAGAAAAAUUAUAUCAAGAGAGAAUUCUAAUUUCACACAAACACAAAUACAAGACAAAUAUGUCAAUUUCUAUACUAUUCACUUUCCUGUAGAAUCAAUUAUCUAAAAUGGAAGUUUGUGGCUACAGCAAACUCGCCAAAGAAAGAAGAUAAUAACAAUUGAGCAUUGAUAGCAAAACUAAUGCAUCAUUUUCUUCUUGACUUGAUGAGAUGGCGCCAUUACAAAAAAACAAGUACCUUAAUUGACGGGCACUGAGUGAUGUGAAUACUACCAGCCAGUUCAUCUCUUCCAGUCUUGCUUAAUCACAAUCACAAACACCACGAGAUUGACAUUUGCAUUAUAUAUAUGUUCAGCAAUCGAAACACCUUGCAUUACCAAAUUAACCGCUAACAAACAAAGCAAUCUUUCAGGGAGAGAAACUUUAGUCUCAGUAUGAUCACUGUGUCAUUAACCCACUUCCUGCUUCUUUGCUUGGUUGUUGUAGCAGCAGCAGCAGCAAGCAACAAUAUUACCACAGACCAACAAGCUCUUCUUGCCCUGAAAGAUCAUAUAAUUUAUGAUCCGACCAACCUUUUUGCCCAUAAUUGGACCUCGAAUACCUCUGUUUGUACCUGGAUUGGCAUCACUUGUGAUGUCAAUAGCCAUAGAGUCGCAGCCUUAGAUAUUUCUCAAUUCAAUCUACAAGGCACCAUCCCUCCUCAACUUGGAAACCUCUCUUCACUCACAACGCUUAAUCUUAGUCAUAACAAGCUUUCUGGAAACGUUCCCUCCUCCAUCUACACAAUGCAUACGCUAAAAUUUCUUGACUUCACUGAUAACCAGCUCUCUGGUUCGGUGUCUUCCUUCGUCUUCAACAUGUCUUCAAUAGUAGAAAUUCGUUUGACCAAUAACAGAUUUUCUGGUGAGCUUCCGAAAAAUAUUUGCAACUAUCUUCCUUAUUUGAAAGCCCUUUUCUUAAAAAAAAACAUGUUUCAUGGCAAAAUUCCUUCUGCUUUAUCAAAGUGCAAAACUCUGCAAAUAUUAUUGUUGCAGUUCAAUAAUUUAUCCGGUGCAAUACCAAAAGAAAUCGGCAACUUGACUAUGCUCAAAGGGAUAUCUCUAUUAUGCAACAAACUCCACGGUAUGUUCAUAAUACUAUGUAAAUAUUUUAAUUUCUCACUUGUUAUUUUUCUUGAAUACUUUAGAUAAGAUCUUGUAACAGAGAUUUUUUUGCAUCUAUGUUAAUUUGCCAGGUGAGAUACCCCACGAAAUCGCUAAUCUUCGAAAUCUAGAGGCUUUAGUGCUUGGAAUGAACAACCUAGUUGGUGUGUUACCAGCUCCAAUCUUCAACAUGUCAACACUGAAGGUACUUAUCCUCAUGGAUAACUCUCUCAGUGGAAGUCUACCAUCAAGAAUAGACCUUUCACUUCCAACUGUUGAGUUUCUUGAGUUGGCACAUAAUAGAUUUUCUGGAACCAUUCCUAGUUCCAUCACCAAUGCUUCUAAGCUCAC
RNAcentral lists this long non-coding RNA (38414 nucleotides) under Citrus x clementina. RNAcentral's name for it is "Citrus clementina (C. clementina) long non-coding RNA (CCLE_LNC000502)". Lineage: Eukaryota; Viridiplantae; Streptophyta; Magnoliopsida; Sapindales; Rutaceae. The record is from RNAcentral.